This 233-nucleotide unclassified non-coding RNA is filed under the name Hevea brasiliensis (rubber tree). Lineage: Eukaryota; Viridiplantae; Streptophyta; Magnoliopsida; Malpighiales; Euphorbiaceae. The record is from RNAcentral.
GAGAGAGAGAGAAGGAGAGAAGAAAAAUAUCUAAAUUACAUAGGUAUUUGUAAACUAAUAAGUAACCCUAUUACUACUAGGAUUAUGAAUUCCAAAAUAGGAAAACACCAAGUCAAUACUAGUAAAAUUCUAAAUGUACUAUAACUUGUUAAAUAUUCCUAAUAAUAAUAGAAUUCCCAAAUAAAACCCUAAACUUCAUAAUUGUACUAAAAAUCUGAAUUAAAGAUCUUAAU